Molecule: ribosomal RNA, 497 nt
Filed under: uncultured bacterium
Lineage: Bacteria
Description: partial 16S ribosomal RNA
Rfam family: Bacterial small subunit ribosomal RNA
Source: RNAcentral
GAUGAACGCUGGCGGCGUGCCUAAUACAUGCAAGUCGAGCGAACAGAUAAGGAGCUUGCUCCUUUGACGUUAGCGGCGGACGGGUGAGUAACACGUGGAUAACCUACCUAUAAGACUGGAAUAACUCCGGGAAACCGGGGCUAAUGCCGGAUAACAUUUAGAACCGCAUGGUUCUAAAGUGAAAGAUGGUUUUGCUAUCACUUAUAGAUGGACCCGCGCCGUAUUAGCUAGUUGGUAAGGUAACGGCUUACCAAGGCAACGAUACGUAGCCGACCUGAGAGGGUGAUCGGCCACACUGGAACUGAGACACGGUCCAGACUCCUACGGGAGGCAGCAGUAGGGAAUCUUCCGCAAUGGGCGAAAGCCUGACGGAGCAACGCCGCGUGAGUGAUGAAGGUCUUCGGAUCGUAAAACUCUGUUAUUAGGGAAGAACAAAUGUGUAAGUAACUGUGCACGUCUUGACGGUACCUAAUCAGAAAGCCACGGCUAACUACGUG